This 26495-nucleotide long non-coding RNA is filed under the name Capsicum annuum. RNAcentral's name for it is "long non-coding RNA (CANN_LNC010784)". The record is from RNAcentral. Lineage: Eukaryota; Viridiplantae; Streptophyta; Magnoliopsida; Solanales; Solanaceae.
AUCUUUAAUAAAGACCCCAUUUAAAUAAAGAGUUUAGGUACACUACAAAUAUCCUUAAUUAUCCUUAAUUUAAGACCACACUACACCACAUAUUUUCUUGAACUUUGUACCAGGUGCACGUAAAUUGAAACACAGGAAGUACUACCCUUUUUACUCAAAAAAUAUGCAUCAAACAAACUAAAGGAUGUUUUAAUGUUCCCUACAUUUUUCUCUAUUAUGUUUAGUAAGGUCUUUCCAUGCCUCCUUUUAACCCUUGAAUUAACUUUUGUGGUUGAUGUGUGCUAUGGUGAUGGGAUGUGAAGGACACAGUAUAUAUGUAUGGAAGUGUGCUUUAAGGGGUUAGUUUCGGUAUUGAUAUUCUCUGUUGAUGAGUCUCGUCUCAUUCCUACCGAAAAUAACGUGUGUGUCUCACCUAAUAGAACUAUAUAUAAAAAGAAUAAAAUCAUUAUUUUUGCGGUUCAUACCACUACCUCAAAGAUUCGUGAAAUAGAAAAAGUUAAAUUAAUGAACUAAGGUAUAUGCCUUUGUUAGCCUUUGCAAGAAUUCUGUUUUUCAAGCCCUGCAUAAUUUUUUGUCGAAAAUCAAUCAAAAAUCUCCUAAUUUGUUUUCUCUUCAAGAGAUAAUGAUACAACAACAUGCUCCCUCCAUUUCAUAUUAGUUGGUCUCUGUGGACUUGACACGCCCAUUAAGUAAAAAUUUAUUUUGAAAAUAUAAAUUUAUACACUUUAUUUAGUCAUUAAUAAUAGGAGUAGUAUCAAAAGAACAUAAUAAUAUUCUUUUGAUUUUAUAAAAGGGACAAUUAAAUUGAAACAAGAAGACCAACUAAUAUGAAACGGAGAAAGUAUUUGUUUUAAAAAACAUAUAAACAUCAACAACAUUACUUAAUAUAGUCAAAAGUCUUGUCCCUAUCUUUGUAAGGUAGAGAGACUACUAUUAAUAGAUUUUCGGCUCACAAGAAAUAAUUGUACAAUAAUAGCGUACUCAAUAUAGUAAUAUACCUUCGGAGUUGAAUUUGUAUCACAUUUGUAUUUUCUUUCUUUAUAUAAAUAGAGCCCCAACCUAUAAGGAAUUGAAGUGCUCAAUCUAAUUUGGACUAAAACAUUAUACGUGCACUUUUCCAUGUGUGUACAAGUAAAAAAUUUCAUAUAUUUAGGAGCCUCAUUUACUAAUUUCUAUAUUUUUAAUAGUCAAUAUUAUUUAAUACUUAUAAAAAAAGGAUUUUGUCAUCAAUUUUAAGAGUCUUAUAGAUUAUAGAUAAGGUCAAGCUAAACAUAAACAUAUAUUUUAUAGAUAAGGUUAAGGUAAACAUAAACAUAUAUUUUAGUGGAAACACGUAUAUAUUUUAUCAUCAUUGAUUUGCUGCACUUGGGCCGAGGGUCUAGCGGAAACAACGAGGUAGGGGUAAGUUUUCGUAUAUCCUACCCUUCCGAAACCCAACUUGUGGGAUAACACUGGGUAUGUUGUUGUGCAACAUCAAUCCAAUGGUUUGAACUUCUCGUUCAUGAUAGACAUUGUAGAUGAGUGAUGGCAACAGCUAGAAAUGUUUUUAUGCUUAUGUUAAGUUGGUGAUAUCUGGAAGACGUAUCUUUUUUAUUGGCUUCAAGUGUCGAUUUCGAAAUAAUUUACUUGACAAGAUUUUGGCAGGUAGUUUUAACCAGUACAAAUCCAUCGGAGCUCUGUGUCAGUGGCAUGUCCUUUUCCCGACAGUCAUCUAAAUGGGCGAAUGCUGCACUUGUUGUUACAGUCUCGUCAAAAGAUUUUGCUGCUUUGGACUUGCACAUACCUCUCGGUGGUGUUGAAUUUCAGGUACUACUUAUAAGCGUCCACACUAGCUGCAUAGAUUUUUUGAAAUUGGCAACGAGUUAUAUUCAUCAGUACCCUAAACAGGCCUGGUAUAUCAUAUCUACAGAUACAGCCUUGAACAAAACUUACAAAGAGGCGAAGAAGUCUAGUAACAUCAACUAACUGUUCUUUACACCAAAAAUAAAGAAGAGAAAUGCAGGAGCUCUUGAUCUUCUGGAUUGAACUGGUUCUGCCUUCACUCGGAUGCUGCCACCUAAUAAAAAAGACACAUUAUAACUAUGGCCUUUAACUUUGCCGGUGAACAAGUAGGCCCUUUCACUAUACAAAAGCAGAACAAAACAACACUUCAAUUCUAACUCCGACGAGCGUGAUUUUGAAUGUGGAAUAGAAGUAUUUUUUUUUGUUUAGCCUUUGUAUAGUUAAAGGGCCUACCUGUACACCGGUAAAGUUAAAAAGGUCAUAAUUAUAAUUCGGUGUCAAGUAUGAGUUUAGUUUCCAUAAAAUAAGACGAGAACAUUGUAUCGAAAAAUAAUUGGGUGGUCUUUAUUACAAUGGAUGUAUUAACUAAUACUAGUUUUGUUUUUAAAAAGCACAUUUUAAAAUAUUAAAAUUGAGUGUGUAGUAAUUAUCCCAUUUUUUCAUCAAUACUCACCCUCCUCACUACUUUGUGUUUCUUAGCUCUAUACCAUUUUUUCAUCCACACUGACUCUCCUCACUACUUUUAUCAUCCUACUUGGGUGAAUUAUUACACACUCCAAUUGAAGAGCAGAGCAGGUACUAAUAUUCCAGAUUGGUGUAUAGAGUGAUUCCCAGCUCUAGCCCACCUAUUAUUCUCUAGGUGAGUGCCGAUUUAUAUUUCAAAAUGUGUUAGGUUUAGAUGCUAAAAAAAUGUUUUGCCUGAAAAGAAUAUAGAAAUUUAGGAUUUCAUCAGUGUUGUUAAAGGGUGCGGGAAAGUGCUGAAUCCUAGGUGCAACCUAAGUUUGGGCCUUCUCUUUGUAGAUGGUUUCAACAAAAUUUGUUUGGGGUUUCAAGAAAUUUCAAAAACUAGAUAAGAAUAUUUUAAUACAUCCCAGAUUAAUUUGUGUUUUUUGCAUAAGUUUGACACUGUUGUUGAUUAAUAAUAUACUAACACUUGGCUGUUGUUGUUAUUGUUGUUGUUGUUGUUUGUGUAUUUUGCAAACAAACAUAAAUUUGACACUGUUAUUGAUUAAUAAUAUACAGCACUGGGUGGUGGUGGUGGUUGUAUACAGCAUGUCUGGAAAAGAACCUAUGAAGGAAGACUCAGAGGAGUCACCAAUGUCAAUAUCUGAAGAAAAGGAGCCAUCAGCGAUGUCCGAGGAAGCGGACUCGUCUACAAGGACAAUGCCUCAAGGUUUCUUGCCGCAGCCUCCUCCUCCUCCUCAGAUACCAUCCCCCGUCCGAAGAUACAUUCGUGGGAAGCGACCUCCCCCACCUCCGCCUCCAGUCCCAUCAGCUUUUGGGUACAUAAAUUUUAUAACUUGCUUUUAAAGACUCGAUUUAAAAUGAUUAAUAAUAUUGAACUGGAAUAUAUGACUCAUUUCACCAAUCCCAAACUGGUUUGAAGUGAGGUAUAGUUUGAUUAAUUUAUUGAAUCCAGUUAGAGAUUACAAAUAGGAAUUAGAUCUCCAUUAACGUUGUCUUUUAGUCCCUAAAGCUCAAAUUCUGCACUUUGGUUUAACUCCCUUUUGUCCCCGAGGAAUUGUCCAAUUUCUUAGAAGGUGGUUUCUACGCAGGCAUCUCUAUAUCAGGGGUCCUGAUGGUCCAUUAGAUGAUGCAAUGGUUAAAAGAUUACGUUUGACCACCGUGUGCCCGACAUCUUUGGCAUGGAUAAUUUAUCUUUCGGCUGUGAAGAGAGCAAAACUCCACUUCCAGUUUGAGACAUCUGUUAUCACUGAUGACAGAGGUAGCUUGACUAAUGAUUUACUAAUAUCAGUAAAUAUGUCAAAGAAGUUCUGACAACUCCUCUCUUAUCUUUUUUCACAGAACCGCGUUUUUGUAUGGAUACAAGAGUCUUCAAAAGUCUAGAAGAAUUCAUCAACAUCAAAACAAGUUUGUCGAUGGAGCCAAGGCAAAACGAGGUGCAGGUUGCACUCCACGAAUCUUGGAUUGAUAGAAAAUCAAGGGAGGAGGAGCAAACAAAAUUGCGAGAAAUAGAAGAAAAGAAGACACGGAUGACAGAACCCUUAUUCACUUUGGAAAGUGUGUAUUUAUGCACAUAUGGUUUGGUCCUCCAAUCAAACAAACAGUGGCUUUCAAAUGCGCUGCGUAAAAUUAAAGAACACUACAGGAUCAGCAGUGAAAAAGAAUUACAAGAAUAUGUAAGUUCAUAUAAAUUGGGUGAAGUGAUCUAUCUAUUCCUCAUCAAUAUAAAUACACUUCCUUUUCAGCAAAACUAUUAUUUGUGUGCUACAGUUGUUGGCAGAAAUAGAUACGGCUUGUCUGCACUUGUGUCGCGAGCUAGGAGCUCAAAAUUACUAUUUGGAUGAUCUGUAAGCCUCCCCAACUUCUUUUUUAACUUAAGUCUCUUUUGUUUCCUAUUCUUAUGUAAUUUCUCUACUCUUUUCAUGGUUUUCUAGGAGGAAAGGGUUCGCUGCAAAGGCAUCGUAAGUCAACUUCUAAUAUGUUCUAAGUUAGAAUUGAUAUAACUGAUGUGUCGACUUUCUUUUUUCUCCUUUUUGCCAGGGCCAUAGCCAUGCUGAACUUGUCCAUUUUGGAUGCAAAAAGCGCAGCUAGUAUACUGCUCAUCAUGAGUUUAACCGGCAUACAGGUGGGUAUAAUUUAUAUAUACGACAUGAGAACUUUCAAGGUUAUGCCUUGAACUUGCAAGUCAAGGUAUAAGCACCUUUUUUGCGGAAUCUCCCCGGCCCCUCCAUAUUCUGCAAUCCCAGGUUCAACAUGAUACCCCCUUCUUGUGCCACUAGUCUCCGGGCAAGCAAACCUCUAACCCAUCCCUAUUCCCAUUACUUUUGAAUUUGACAUCAAAAGUAACUAAACCUUUUGACGAGUACCCCCUUUGAAUCUCUAGUUAUCUUCCAACACUCAAUGUCAGGUUCCAUUCUUCUAGCUUGUCCGCAGCCUAUCAAUUUUGUUAGAAUAAUUUCACAGCCUCCUCUUCAUGACCCUGGAAAUAUCUGCCCCUAAUGUUUUGAUGUACCCAGAGAUUGUUGCAUCCCUUUCUCAAUCGAGAAUAGCUUGUUGUUGAUGAAUAAGAAGAGGCGUGGCCUCCUCUUACCUCCCAAUUUUCUAUCCUAGAGAUUGAAUUCUCUUUGGCUGAUUCAGUGGACUUAUCUUCAAUUAUCCUUCUAUCCUUCAAUUUUCGCAGUCAUAACCUCUUCUGUGUUCAUCGCUGCCUUUACAUAUGAAUCUUCUGUGUGUUGCGACUUUGCAUGCGAAGAAUUCUGGGCAGACUAGAGAGAAGUCCAGAACUUAGAUGAAACAGUGGGGAGUUGAUGCCUUGUAAGUCAUUAAAAAUGACUUGGCCAGCGAAAUCAAGACCAACACUCUUGCAAAAACUGCACUCGUAUCGUCCAAAUCAUCCACUUAUCAAACUACCAAAACAUCACGAUGUUUGAUUUUGCAUGUGCUUGAAGCACGAUUCUAUAUUGGCUUGAAUAUUUCGGGUGUUACAAUAUAAACCCCAAAGCAAGCACUUUUCCAAUUUGUUGUUGACCAUCUGCUUACAUCUGCAAGUGUGGAUUGGAUCACUCCUUAGCCUCCUCUCCGAAGCACCCAACUAGACAUUUUUUUUCAAUAGCCCAUCGAUCAUCCCGUACUCCAGAUGGUUCAGGAACACCAAGUUUCUUUGAUCAUUGGCAUUUACUUUCUUCGUACGACCUUUAGGUGUGGGUAGUUGGCUUCAGCUAAUGCAGGAGGGGCUAACAGUUGUAGCUUAUUGGAGCAUUAAAUGAACUUUUUGAUUUUAAAUGCUAUGUCACACCCACCCCACCCAUGACAAUUUAAGGACAAUAGGCUCAUUAUGUUUUCUGGUAGAAAGUGUUCCGAGUCAAGUUCUGUGGUUUUCCAUCCCCUGACCUCUUUCUUUUGGUCUGUUGAGGCUUCUCCAUUCCAGGAUCUGUUUUACUUAUAGUCGAUCUUCUCAUCAUCUUACAACCCCUGUCCACCAUGCCUACCAAAUUGAGUUGUCUGAGGUGUGAGGACCAUCUAAGUGAUGUUGUCGAGGACUUAAAUCCAUCAUUGGAAUAAAUCUCUUUGAUAUCCUUAUGUAUGUUUAUUUAAUCUCUCCUUAACUCAUAGCAUUGUUGGUAUAAACAUAGUUCUCUACACAAAUAAAAAAACUGUCUUUUCUUGAUACUUAUUGAAUUUUAAAUUAUUCUUGUUAUUUCUUUGUUUUUUUUUAUGCACCUAAACUCUGUCUCAAAUUUUGUUUACAGAUUUCUUGUUUUAAUAAUAUCAGAUACAAUUCAUUAAUGGAACAAGUAACAACGUUGGAUUACUGGCAAUAUGGAUUAUGGAUGAAUAUUCUUACACUCCUCCAUCAAGCAUGUGCAAUUAUUUUGUACAAAAGGGUAGGUACUCUCCGUUUCAAUCUAAGUAUCUUAAUUUAAUGUCCUUUGGUUAAUCUUUAAUAAAGACCCCAUUUAAAUAAAGAGUUUAGGUACACUACAAAUAUCCUUAAUUUAAGACCACACUACACCACAUAUUUUCUUGAACUUUGUACCAGGUGCACGUAAAUUGAAACACAGGAAGUACUACCCUUUUUACUCAAAAAAUAUGCAUAAAACAAACUAAAGGAUGUUUUAAUGUUCCCUACAUUUUUCUCUAUUAUGUUUAGUAAGGUCUUUCCAUGCCUCCUUUUAACCCUUGAAUUAACUUUUGUGGUUGAUGUGUGCUAUGGUGAUGGGAUGUGAAGGACACAGUAUAUAUGUAUGGAAGUGUGCUUUAAGGGGUUAGUUUCGGUAUUGAUAUUCUCUGUUGAUGAGUCUCGUCUCAUUCCUACCGAAAAUAACGUGUGUGUCUCACCUAAUAGAACUAUAUAUAAAAAGAAUAAAAUCAUUAUUUUUGCGGUUCAUACCACUACCUCAAAGAUUCGUGAAAUAGAAAAAGUUAAAUUAAUGAACUAAGGUAUAUGCCUUUGUUAGCCUUUGCAAGAAUUCUGUUUUUCAAGCCCUGCAUAAUUUUUUGUCGAAAAUCAAUCAAAAAUCUCCUAAUUUGUUUUCUCUUCAAGAGAUAAUGAUACAACAACAUGCUCCCUCCAUUUCAUAUUAGUUGGUCUCUGUGGACUUGACACGCCCAUUAAGUAAAAAUUUAUUUUGAAAAUAUAAAUUUAUACACUUUAUUUAGUCAUUAAUAAUAGGAGUAGUAUCAAAAGAACAUAAUAAUAUUCUUUUGAUUUUAUAAAAGGGACAAUUAAAUUGAAACAAGAAGACCAACUAAUAUGAAACGGAGAAAGUAUUUGUUUUAAAAAACAUAUAAACAUCAACAACAUUACUUAAUAUAGUCAAAAGUCUUGUCCCUAUCUUUGUAAGGUAGAGAGACUACUAUUAAUAGAUUUUCGGCUCACAAGAAAUAAUUGUACAAUAAUAGCGUACUCAAUAUAGUAAUAUACCUUCGGAGUUGAAUUUGUAUCACAUUUGUAUUUUCUUUCUUUAUAUAAACAGAGCCCCAACCUAUAAGGAAUUGAAGUGCUCAAUCUAAUUUGGACUAAAACAUUAUACGUGCACUUUUCCAUGUGUGUACAAAUAAAAAAUUUCAUAUAUUUAGGAGUCUUCCAUAGAAUAAAAGUUCUCAUUUAUUAAUUUCUAUAUUUUUAAUAGUCAAUAUUAUUUAAUACUUAUAAAAAAAGGAUUUUGUCAUCAAUUUUAAGAGUCUUAUAGAUUGUAGAUAAGGUCAAGCUAAACAUAAACAUAUAUUUUAUAGAUAAGGUUAAGGUAAACAUAAACAUAUAUUUUAGUGGAAACACGUAUAUAUUUUAUCAUCAGACAUCCUAAGUGGUUGCGGUUAUUUUUUAUUUUUUUUUAUAUUUAAAGUCUUUUCUUGUUCUGAAAGUCAAUGUAUGAUUAUUUUUUUCCUAUAUUUAAAAUCUUAGUCCAAUCUUCACAAAAUCAUCCAUUACAUUUUUGUUGGUUUAGAAUUCUUAAACUGACUGAAAAAAAUAUUAGUUUGUCAUUAAUUCUGAUGACUUUUAAUAAGGAGAGGUUUUACCAUAAGUAUAUUUAAUUAAUUUUCAACCCUUAAAUAUUACGAAAAAUAGUGAAAAAACGAUUUUGUCUAAAGUAAAACUUUUAAUGAAUGACAAAAAGUUCGAACGACAUUUCUAAUGCCCUUCACACUUUUAAUAUAUUAUAUAUAUAGAUUAUAGAUAUAGAUAUAGAUUAUCACUAGUUGUGACUUGUGACCCUUCACAUUUUACCCGAAAGGCAUUUUGAAACACUUGGUAGAUAGUGUAGCCAUUUUUGGCGGGUAAAUUUGUGUUAAGCUAUGUAUUUUCAUUUUACCCUUAACGAGAUUAGUAUAGAGCCACACAAAUGUCUUAGGCUUGUUUUGGACCAUAAGUUUUAAAAUACUUUCUUUCUUAAACUUGUCCCUAAUCAAACAGUGCCACAUAAAUAGGGACGAAUGGAGUGUCUACCUUGAAUCUCCAUGCGAAGCACCCUAUAUGUGUUCCCUUCAAUCACCUAAGCGCUUCCAAAGAAAAUGGAACACCUAAGAGUGUGGCUUAGUGGUAAAUGAAGUGAGUUGAGAAUCAUGUGGUCUAAGGCUCAAAUACCAAGUGAGAUAAAAAUGUUGUAGAUGCUUUCUAGGUUCAAAUACCGAGUGAGAUAAAAACAUAGAUGCUUUCUUCCAAUAUGUCCUAGCCUUAGUGGACCCGACAUGUUUUGAGGAAGAUUUGUCGCAGCGAGUAUUUGGACCAAAGGGUACGCUAGCCUUGGGUCUUUUUGCACCUCAAGUAAAUUUGAAAUUUGAAGGUGUUUUUUCGUCAUCAGUAAUAGGUGGACGUUGGUAGUUUCACAAAAUAAAAAACUCUGUCCGCAAAAAGUCCGACCAGCUAUCAUUGAAAUGAGUUCUAGGAUAAUAAUGGACAUGACCUAAGUAGCAACAGAAAUAUUAGAAUUCUUGAACACAAUAAUUAUAUAUUCUGUAAUAACAUUCCACUUACUGAUAACCUUCUCAUAUCAGAAUGAAUGAUUCGGAGUAAUUUUGUCAUCAGAAUUACAAAUUCCAAAACAUAAAAGUAAACUCAAGUCUACAGUUGAGAAUCAAUCAUAUCAAAGGGAGCAAUGUCAUGAAAGUGUUGCAUAACUUCCAGAUCAGACACACGAGUCUUUCUGUCACGGAGACACCGUAACCCUAAAUGCAAUAAACCCAAAGCAAUUUCCUUUUCUUUUUUCAUUUGCUUGAAUUGUUCUAUCAGUUGUUCCUUCAAUAAUUUCACUAGACCUGCAUUUUCUUCAGCAGCUUCUUUUUCAGCGGUUAAUUCUUCGGCACGUGUGAUUAUAUUUUUAGCGAUUUCAAAACCAUUAUCCCUGUAUUGUUUUUCGUAACGUCUCCCGUAAGCAGUUGGAGUACAAUCAUCCCAUAUGAAAAAACAUCAUGUUCCCAUGUUGCAACUGUAAAAAAUAAAGCCAUAAAAAUAUUUUAACAACAAAUCCUUAAAAAAUCAUCUACUUGAUUUUAACCUAUAGUCUUGGCAAAUCUUUCUCACUCAAGCUACAAUUAUUCAGGAUGAGAUAUCAUGCACGAGGGGCAUACACGAUCUGCAGUUGUUUUGUAGAGUCUACAAUUAACAAUAUCAAUUAAGAAAGUGCUUUUAAGAUGCUCCCAGUUACUGUCCCCGAGGCAUCUCUCUGAAGCCCCUUUCGGACUUUAGAGAUCCGUUUCUAGUGGACUUCUUCCAACGGAAGCCAUCCCCAAUCAAUAUUUUUCUCUCCACUCUUCCGUUUUUUCUUGGCCUAUCUACUAUGUUGGAAAAUAGAAUAUAUCCCUGAUCGUCGGGGGAGUCUUACGAUAUCAUAGAGUCGAGUUCUAAAGCUGAAAUAUGGUACGAUUGGUUGGAAAGUACUAGAAAUCUCAUGAGGAGAAUGGUGCUGAGCAAGGGAGCAUUGAUGUGGAUUUGCAAGAGAUUCUUCGAAGCAUCAGGGAUCAAAGGGAGGACAUUUAAGUCCUGGAGAGUCAGAGAUUUCUCCACAAGCAUUUUCCUAUCCUUAAAAUACAAUCACUAUGGGAGGUUUUUAUUGUUGAAUUCAGUUAAAGGCAGCGAAAGAGCAGUUAUUGUCAUUCUAGAGAACACAUUUAAUGAAAGUCGGCGAGACUAGCAAAGAAAAUAGACACAUUCAUUAAUAGGAAUGCAACAAGGGAGGCAGAUAUAGCUGCAAACAUGGGAAAGGGAGUUACCUACAAAUAUUGCACAAAAAUAAGUGGACACGAAGAGAGACAGAGGUCGCUGAAGAAAUGGGAGAUGAUUGAGUUCUGAAAGCAGAGACUCAUUUGGAGGAGAAAGAUCUCAUGGGGAGAUGCCUGGUGGGGAACUUUUCUGGCAAAGAAGAUGCCCCCACCAGAAGUGAAGUCAAAAGCUGGGCGGGUCAGGCUUGUAAAGGAACGCAAGGAAUCCAAGUGUAUGACAUGAAUGGAUCUCUGUUCUUGUUCGAAUUCUAGUCAAGAAAAGCAGCUGAACACGUCCUGAUGGGACUAAAUUUAUGUAUUUCUGAUCAAAAUUCUAACAAUCAAGAUGUGACAAUUUAUGUUGUUAAAUCAGAUUAGAUGUUUUGAUGUUCAGCUCAUACCUGACCCAUCCUCGUUAUUUACGUAGCCACCUGUUUCAAUCUCAACAUGUCCUCCUGUUUUAAUACAACCCGCCAAAUCGCAUAAUACAGCAUUGCCCCACUGCCCAAGAACAAAAAAAAUGUGAGCAUAUAAUUUAUUCGUAUAGAAAGAAGUAUGUAUUAAUUAAAUAAGGAUGUGAAAAUUCAUUACCUGGUCUAAUAGAACGUUUUCUGGCUUUAGAUCGCAAAGACAAUAUCCAGAUCUGUGGACCACAUAAACGGCAUAUGCAAGGCUUUUUAAAACUCUCAUAAUCUGGUCCCAAUCCAUAUCUGCGUCGAAGAAAUGAAAUUGUGUAAGUUAGAGAAGAAAGUUGCGUCGAAGAAAUGAAAUUGUGUAAGUUAGAGAAGAAAGUUGCGUCGAAGAAAUGAAAUUGUGUAAGUUAGAGAAGAAAGUUGCGUCGAAGAAAUGAAAUUGUGUAAGUUAGAGAAGAAAGUUUCGUCAAAAGGAUUGUGUAAGAAUUUACCUUUUCUUGCUGAUUCCAAAUCCCCACCGGGUACCCAAUCAGUAACUAGGAAUUUCAGAUUGCGGUUUGAGACCAAUCCCUUGCCUCUACCUACUAAUUUAAGUAGGUUCUUGUAUGGCAAUUCUUCCAAAACGCUCACUUCACUCUGCACAAGCAUUGUUUAGUAGGAAUUGAUAUAAGAGAACUAUAUAUCAAACAAAUUAGAUAUUACCUCAGUUUGAAUAUUCCACCGUGUUGCUUUAGACAAUUUAAAUGCAUAAUCACCAGCCUGUAGUUGCCAUUCGUUUUCAUUUGAUAAUUGGACUUUAUAAACUUUGCCCAUUGUUCCUACACCUUAAGGUUCGGAGUUGAGACAAGAGAUUUGGAUUCGCUUUGAGUAUUGGGCUAAAAUCUAUGACUGAACAAGUUUGUAAAACAGUUAGUAUAACAGUAUCAAAAGGACUAACUUGAAUAAAUUCAGAUACAGACAAAUAAAGCUAUGAAAAACUUUCUUCUAGUUGAAAUAAUAAUUGAUCGGGAGAAAAAGCAACUUCUCACUUGCCCCCCAAAAAAGGCUCCUAUCACAAUUUUCAUUACUUCACCCUUGGNNNNNNNNNNNNNNNNNNNNNNNNNNNNNNNNNNNNNNNNNNNNNNNNNNNNNNNNNNNNNNNNNNNNNNNNNNNNNNNNNNNNNNNNNNNNNNNNNNNNNNNNNNNNNNNNNNNNNNNNNNNNNNNNNNNNNNNNNNNNNNNNNNNNNNNNNNNNNNNNNNNNNNNNNNNNNNNNNNNNNNNNNNNNNNNNNNNNNNNNNNNNNNNNNNNNNNNNNNNNNNNNNNNNNNNNNNNNNNNNNNNNNNNNNNNNNNNNNNNNNNNNNNNNNNNNNNNNNNNNNNNNNNNNNNNNNNNNNNNNNNNNNNNNNNNNNNNNNNNNNNNNNNNNNNNNNNNNNNNNNNNNNNNNNNNNNNNNNNNNNNNNNNNNNNNNNNNNNNNNNNNNNNNNNNNNNNNNNNNNNNNNNNNNNNNNNNNNNNNNNNNNNNNNNNNNNNNNNNNNNNNNNNNNNNNNNNNNNNNNNNNNNNNNNNNNNNNNNNNNNNNNNNNNNNNNNNNNNNNNNNNNNNNNNNNNNNNNNNNNNNNNNNNNNNNNNNNNNNNNNNNNNNNNNNNNNNNNNNNNNNNNNNNNNNNNNNNNNNNNNNNNNNNNNNNNNNNNNNNNNNNNNNNNNNNNNNNNNNNNNNNNNNNNNNNNNNNNNNNNNNNNNNNNNNNNNNNNNNNNNUGUUUAUACCAACAAUGCUAUGAGUUAAGGAGAGAUUAAAUAAACAUACAUAAGGAUAUCAAAGAGAUUUAUUCCAAUGAUGGAUUUAAGUCCUUCGACAACAUCACUUAGAUGGUCCUCACACCUCAGACAACUCAAUUUGGUAGGCAUGGUGGACAGGAGUUGUAAGAUGAUGAGAAGAUCGACUAUAAGUAAAACAGAUCCUGGAAUGGAGAAGCCUCAACAGACCAAAAGAAAGAGGUCAGGGGAUGGAAAACCACAGAACUUGACUCGGAACACUUUCUACCAGAAAACAUAAUGAGCCUAUUGUCCUUAAAUUGUCAUGGGUGGGGUGGGUGUGACAUAGCAUUUAAAAUCAAAAAGUUCAUUUAAUGCUCCAAUAAGCUACAACUGUUAGCCCCUCCUGCAUUAGCUGAAGCCAACUACCCACACCUAAAGGUCGUACGAAGAAAGUAAAUGCCAAUGAUCAAAGAAACUUGGUGUUCCUGAACCAUCUGGAGUACGGGAUGAUCGAUGGGCUAUUGAAAAAAAAUGUCUAGUUGGGUGCUUCGGAGAGGAGGCUAAGGAGUGAUCCAAUCCACACUUGCAGAUGUAAGCAGAUGGUCAACAACAAAUUGGAAAAGUGCUUGCUUUGGGGUUUAUAUUGUAACACCCGAAAUAUUCAAGCCAAUAUAGAAUCGUGCUUCAAGCACAUGCAAAAUCAAACAUCGUGAUGUUUUGGUAGUUUGAUAAGUGGAUGAUUUGGACGAUACGAGUGCAGUUUUUGCAAGAGUGUUGGUCUUGAUUUCGCUGGCCAAGUCAUUUUUAAUGACUUACAAGGCAUCAACUCCCCACUGUUUCAUCUAAGUUCUGGACUUCUCUCUAGUCUGCCCAGAAUUCUUCGCAUGCAAAGUCGCAACACACAGAAGAUUCAUAUGUAAAGGCAGCGAUGAACACAGAAGAGGUUAUGACUGCGAAAAUUGAAAGAUAGAAGGAUAAUUGAAGAUAAGUCCACUGAAUCAGCCAAAGAGAAUUCAAUCUCUAGGAUAGAAAAUUGGGAGGUAAGAGGAGGCCACGCCUCUUCUCAUUCAUCAACAACAAGCUAUUCUCGAUUGAGAAAGGGAUGCAACAAUCUCUGGGUACAUCAAAACAUUAGGGGCAGAUAUUUCCAGGGUCAUGAAGAGGAGGCUGUGAAAUUAUUCUAACAAAAUUGAUAGGCUGCGGACAAGCUAGAAGAAUGGAACCUGACAUUGAGUGUUGGAAGAUAACUAGAGAUUCAAAGGGGGUACUCGUCAAAAGGUUUAGUUACUUUUGAUGUCAAAUUCAAAAGUAAUGGGAAUAGGGAUGGGUUAGAGGUUUGCUUGCCCGGAGACUAGUGGCACAAGAAGGGGGUAUCAUGUUGAACCUGGGAUUGCAGAAUAUGGAGGGGCCGGGGAGAUUCCGCAAAAAAGGUGCUUAUACCUUGACUUGCAAGUUCAAGGCAUAACCUUGAAAGUUCUCAUGUCGUAUAUAUAAAUUAUACCCACCUGUAUGCCGGUUAAACUCAUGAUGAGCAGUAUACUAGCUGCGCUUUUUGCAUCCAAAAUGGACAAGUUCAGCAUGGCUAUGGCCCUGGCAAAAAGGAGAAAAAAGAAAGUCGACACAUCAGUUAUAUCAAUUCUAACUUAGAACAUAUUAGAAGUUGACUUACGAUGCCUUUGCAGCGAACCCUUUCCUCCUAGAAAACCAUGAAAAGAGUAGAGAAAUUACAUAAGAAUAGGAAACAAAAGAGACUUAAGUUAAAAAAGAAGUUGGGGAGGCUUACAGAUCAUCCAAAUAGUAAUUUUGAGCUCCUAGCUCGCGACACAAGUGCAGACAAGCCGUAUCUAUUUCUGCCAACAACUGUAGCACACAAAUAAUAGUUUUGCUGAAAAGGAAGUGUAUUUAUAUUGAUGAGGAAUAGAUAGAUCACUUCACCCAAUUUAUAUGAACUUACAUAUUCUUGUAAUUCUUUUUCACUGCUGAUCCUGUAGUGUUCUUUAAUUUUACGCAGCGCAUUUGAAAGCCACUGUUUGUUUGAUUGGAGGACCAAACCAUAUGUGCAUAAAUACACACUUUCCAAAGUGAAUAAGGGUUCUGUCAUCCGUGUCUUCUUUUCUUCUAUUUCUCGCAAUUUUGUUUGCUCCUCCUCCCUUGAUUUUCUAUCAAUCCAAGAUUCGUGGAGUGCAACCUGCACCUCGUUUUGCCUUGGCUCCAUCGACAAACUUGUUUUGAUGUUGAUGAAUUCUUCUAGACUUUUGAAGACUCUUGUAUCCAUACAAAAACGCGGUUCUGUGAAAAAAGAUAAGAGAGGAGUUGUCAGAACUUCUUUGACAUAUUUACUGAUAUUAGUAAAUCAUUAGUCAAGCUACCUCUGUCAUCAGUGAUAACAGAUGUCUCAAACUGGAAGUGGAGUUUUGCUCUCUUCACAACCGAAAGAUAAAUUAUCCAUGCCAAAGAUGUCGGGCACACGGAGGUCAAACGUAAUCUUUUAACCAUUGCAUCAUCUAAUGGACCAUCAGGACCCCUGAUAUAGAGAUGCCUGCGUAGAAACCACCUUCUAAGAAAUUGGACAAUUCCUCGGGGACAAAAGGGAGUUAAACCAAAGUGCAGAAUUUGAGCUUUAGGGACUAAAAGACAACGUUAAUGGAGAUCUAAUUCCUAUUUGUAAUCUCUAACUGGAUUCAAUAAAUUAAUCAAACUAUACCUCACUUCAAACCAGUUUGGGAUUGGUGAAAUGAGUCAUAUAUUCCAGUUCAAUAUUAUUAAUCAUUUUAAAUCGAGUCUUUAAAAGCAAGUUAUAAAAUUUAUGUACCCAAAAGCUGAUGGGACUGGAGGCGGAGGUGGGGGAGGUCGCUUCCCACGAAUGUAUCUUCGGACGGGGGAUGGUAUCUGAGGAGGAGGAGGAGGCUGCGGCAAGAAACCUUGAGGCAUUGUCCUUGUAGACGAGUCCGCUUCCUCGGACAUCGCUGAUGGCUCCUUUUCUUCAGAUAUUGACAUCCCUGAUGGCUUCUUUUCUUCAGAUAUUGACAUUGGUGACUCCUCUGAGUCCUCCUUCAUAGGUUCUUUUCCAGACAUGCUGUAUACAACAACCACCACCACCCAGUGAUGUAUAUUAUUAAUCAAUAACAGUGUCAAAUUUAUGUUUGUUUGCAAAAUACACAAACAACAAUAACAACAACAGCCAAGUGUUAGUAUAUUAUUAAUCAACAACAGUGUCAAACUUAUACUUGUUUGCAAAAAACACAAAUUAAUCUGGGAUGUAUUAAAAUAUUCUUAUCUAGUUUUUGAAAUUUCUUGAAACCCCAAACAAAUUUUGUUGAAACCAUCUACAAAGAGAAGGCCCAAACUUAGGUUGCACCUAGGAUUCAGCACUUUCCCGCACCCUUUAACAACACUGAUGAAAUCCUAAAUUUCUAUAUUCUUUUCAGGCAAAACAUUUUUUUAGCAUCUAAACCUAACACAUUUUGAAAUAUAAAUCGGCACUCACCUAGAGAAUAAUAGGUGGGCUAGAGCUGGGAAUCACUCUAUACACCAAUCUGGAAUAUUAGUACCUGCUCUGCUCUUCAAUUGGAGUGUGUAAUAAUUCACCCAAGUAGGAUGAUAAAAGUAGUGAGGAGAGUCAGUGUGGAUGAAAAAAUGGUAUAGAGCUAAGAAACACAAAGUAGUGAGGAGGGUGAGUAUUGAUGAAAAAAUGGGAUAAUUACUACACACUCAAUUUUAAUAUUUUAAAAUGUGCUUUUUAAAAACAAAACUAGUAUUAGUUAAUACAUCCAUUGUAAUAAAGACCACGCAAUUAUUUUUCGAUACUUUAUGGAAACUAAAUUCACCAAAUUAUAAUUAUGACCUUUUAACUUUACUGGUGUACAAGUAGGCCCUUCAACUAUACAAAGACUAAACAAAAAAAAAAUACUUCUAUUCCACAUUCAAAAUCAUGCUCGUCGGAGUUAGAAUUGAAGUGUUGUUUUGUUCUGCUUUUGUAUAGUGAAAGGGCCUACUUGUUCACCGGCAAAGUUAAAAGCCAUAGUUAUAAUGUGUCGUCUUUAUUAGGUGGUUACUAAUCCACGUGGGAGCGAUUGAGUUUCACGCGUGUAAGUUGCAGAAUUGGAGUGUUUUUUUUGUGUUCAGCUUUUAUAUAGUUAAAGGGUAUGCUUGUGCACUGACAAGGUUAAAGGGAAUAAUUAUAAUUUCUUGUCAAGUUAAAAGUUCUUGUUUUAUGUAUUAUGCCUUCCAUUUUUAUUGGAUCUGCAUCAUAUUUUUGACUAAAAUUAAUCACACUAAAGUUUUUUUAAAAAAAAUAAUAAUAAUAAUUAAAAAAAAAUCUUUCAAUUUAGAUUAGAAAAUAACAAGACUUCGUUAAAAAUUAAUCACACUCAUUUUUAUCACAUUGCUAAAAGAAAAGAUAAUACGCAUCCAGACUUAACAUAUGUGUAAUGAAGUCGCAGCGAGUAUAGAAAAUUGAAUGCCAAUGUAAUAAAAAUGAGUGAUGUGUUACUUUUUUUAGUAUGUCCAAAAAAUAAUAAAAUGUCAUGCUUUUUUAUGUGAUCAGGAGGUCACGGUUCAAGCCUGGGAAACAGCCUUUGGCAGAAAUGCAAGGUAAGGCUGCGUACGAUACACCCUUGUGGUGGGGUCCUUCCACGGACACCGCGUAUAUCGAUAGCUUUAGUGCACCGGACUGCUCUUUUUUUUUUUUUUUUUUAUGUAGAAACAAUUUGCCUUUGAACUUUUUAAUUUUACACAUAAAUAUCUAUAGCUUAUUUUUAAACUACAAAGUUUUAAAACUUCCUUUACUUUUUAAAACUUGGUGUCAAUCAGACAAUUGAUCUUAGGCCCUGAUUCAAUUAGGUGUAUUUAUGCAUCUAAGUGUCAUGGUCGACGUGGGUUUGUGAGAACUUUAUGCAUGAUUUUGUGUUGGUGAUGUGCAUAUUUAGCCUCAUAUUGGAUUGGGUUGGUGAAGCCUAGCAUUAGAUAAAUGAAGUAGUUGUUCUUGCGUAGUUUUGAGUAGCUUUUUAUGUGAUGUAUGGUUUAAUUAAUGCUUGUGAUGAGAUAUUGUAGGAGACCAUUGGAGCUGCUUUGGGAUGCUAAAUGAGGAUACACAAUAGCUACAUACGAAAUUGUGUUGUUUUGUGCAUGGUCCGUCCACGACGUGCUGCCUCCACUUUGCGUCCAUUUCAGCUACGCGAAAUGGCCUUGAAGUAGGGCGCUCUUUCUACGCGGGCAAAAUUGGUUCCUAGUCCUACUUUGAGUGGGAAAACUCACCUAGUUCUUAUGAGAGUUGGUCGACCCAAUUUGGGGGCUAUGAAGAAAAGAGAGGAGAACGCGUUUGGAUUCACAACACAAAAGUUUCAAGGAGGCUACCCAGAGAGUUCUUGAUUUGUAUGGUUAAAUUCUCUUAGUUUUACUUGUUUUAUUACUUAUUGUCAUGUUGUUGUAGUAGUACGAAUUGUAUCGUUUCUUGUCAUUACAUAAUGUCCACACAUCAACAACAAUAUGAGGUGUGUAUCAUAAUUAUAGUUACGGUUUCGACGAAACUCAAUAAAAAAGUUCAAUGAUAAACAACAUUCAUUUAGAACCUACAAACUACUCUAAAUCCUGCAUUCGUCUCUCAUCUUUGAUCGCAACGAACUAUAUAUGAAGAGUUGCUAGAUCAACAAUGAGCAGCCUAUGAUUUACAUAGUAAUGAACACAAUGCUGUCAGUAUUUUGCCACUCCAGCACUCUGAGCCUUCCCUAAAAUUAACUCGAUGCUGCCAUGAAAGAGACCUAAACAUUUCGCCAAUGCAAAGCCGCUAUACAUGCCACCAACAGCUGCACUUACUAUACCGCCGGCAUAACCUGCGCCUUCUCCAAUAGGGUAAAGCCCUCUUAAGGACGUGCACUCGCAAGGGUCAGCACUUCGCGAGAUCUGGACUGGGGAACUAGUUCUUGUCUGCAAUGAGGAAGAAACUAAAAGUUGCAACAAAGUUGCCUCUUUAUUGUUUAGGUAGUAGACCUCUUGUCUGCAAUCAGGUACUACAAAAUUGCCUUCGCCCAUUGCAGCUGCCCUUCGUUCAAACAUCCUCUGAAAUCAUACGGUCGAGAUGAAAAUACUUGCAAGUAAAAUAUUGACAAACAAUAAAUGUACCUACGUACUAGGGCCUAUGGGUAAUUCAACAAUUACCAUGGAAGAAACAACUGAUUGAGCUAGGUUCUUGAAGACAAAAACUCUCUAGCUUAUACUUGUUUCUUUGUACAAUCUAAUGGUUUCGAUCUAUGCAGCCAGUGUGGAAAGCGAGAAAUGCAAGAUGUUUUGAAGGCAGAACCAGUUCAAUCCAGAAGAUCAAGAGCUCCUGCAAAGGAGGCUACCCAGAGAGUUCUUGAUUUGUAUGGUUAAAUUCUCUUAGUUUUACUUGUUUUAUUACUUAUUGUCAUGUUGUUGUAGUAGUACGAAUUGUAUCGUUUCUUGUCAUUACAUAAUGUCCACACAUCAACAACAAUAUGAGGUGUGUAUCAUAAUUAUAGUUACGGUUUCGACGAAACUCAAUAAAAAAGUUCAAUGAUAAACAACAUUCAUUUAGAACCUACAAACUACUCUAAAUCCUGCAUUCGUCUCUCAUCUUUGAUCGCAACGAACUAUAUAUGAAGAGUUGCUAGAUCAACAAUGAGCAGCCUAUGAUUUACAUAGUAAUGAACACAAUGCUGUCAGUAUUUUGCCACUCCAGCACUCUGAGCCUUCCCUAAAAUUAACUCGAUGCUGCCAUGAAAGAGACCUAAACAUUUCGCCAAUGCAAAGCCGCUAUACAUGCCACCAACAGCUGCACUUACUAUACCGCCGGCAUAACCUGCGCCUUCUCCAAUAGGGUAAAGCCCUCUUAAGGACGUGCACUCGCAAGGGUCAGCACUUCGCGAGAUCUGGACUGGGGAACUAGUUCUUGUCUGCAAUGAGGAAGAAACUAAAAGUUGCAACAAAGUUGCCUCUUUAUUGUUUAGGUAGUAGACCUCUUGUCUGCAAUCAGGUACUACAAAAUUGCCUUCGCCCAUUGCAGCUGCCCUUCGUUCAAACAUCCUCUGAAAUCAUACGGUCGAGAUGAAAAUACUUGCAAGUAAAAUAUUGACAAACAAUAAAUGUACCUACGUACUAGGGCCUAUGGGUAAUUCAACAAUUACCAUGGAAGAAACAACUGAUUGAGCUAGGUUCUUGAAGACAAAAACUCUCUAGCUUAUACUUGUUUCUUUGUACAAUCUAAUGGUUUCGAUCUAUGCAGCCAGUGUGGAAAGCGAGAAAUGCAAGAUGUUUUGAAGGCAGAACCAGUUCAAUCCAGAAGAUCAAGAGCUCCUGCAUUUCUCUUCUUUAUUUUUGGUGUAAAGAACAGUUAGUUGAUGAUGUUGAAUCAUUACUAGACUUCUUCGCCUCUUUGUAAGUUUUGUUCAAGGCUGUAUCUGUAGAUAUGAUAUACCAGGCCUGUUUAGGGUACUGAUGAAUAUAACUCGUUGCCAAUUUCAAAAAAUCUAUGCAGCCAGUGUGGACGCUUAUAAGUAGUACCUGAAAUUCAACACCACCGAGAGGUAUGUGCAAGUCCAAAGCAGCAAAAUCUUUUGACGAGACUGUAACAACAAGUGCAGCAUUCGCCCAUUUAGAUGACUGUCGGGAAAAGGACAUGCCACUGACACAGAGCUCCGAUGGAUUUGUACUGGUUAAAACCACCUGCCAAAAUCUUGUCAAGUAAAUUAUUUCGAAAUCGACACUUGAAGCCAAUAAAAAAGAUACGUCUUCCAGAUAUCACCAACUUAACAUAAGCAUAAAAACAUUUCUAGCUGUUGCCAUCACUCAUCUACAAUGUCUAUCAUGAACGAGAAGUUCAAACCAUUGGAUUGAUGUUGCACAACAACAUACCCAGUGUUAUCCCACAAGUUGGGUUUCGGAAGGGUAGGAUAUACGAAAACUUACCCCUACCUCGUGGAGGUAGAAAGGUUGUUUCCGCUAGACCCUCGGCCCAAGUGCAGCAAAUCAAAGUAGUUACGAAAAAGGAAAUACUGCAGUGAACAAAACAUGGCAACAAAUUGAGAAAGCAGAUUGGGUUUAUGUUGCACGAGAGGGAAUAAUAGAAUUAGAAAGUUGGAAAAGCAUACGCAAAUGUCAGAUCAAUCAUAAUAUUUCAUAAGCAAUUACGAACAAGAGCAGUUGUUGUACCUGCCCACCAGGACACAUGCAAAAGGAGUAACAACUGCGAUUUCUUGGUGCAGAAUUUGAAGGCAAAGCAAUACCGUCUGUAUUCACAUAUUCAACAACCUUGUAAUCCGCAACAGGCACUUUCCCGCGUCCACUUUGAACUUCAUUAGCCAAUCCAGAAUACUGAAUAUAAUUUGACCAAAAACACAAAUUAUUUUCAAGUUAAAUUCCGAGAUAUAAUUGAACUUAGAGAGGAAAAUACAACAAAUGUAAAUGCUCACGGAAAAUGAAAUAGCUUGGGAAGAACAAGAGCAACUCUGAAGCGCAGAGGGGAAUUGUUAAAUAGCACAUAUAAAUGUACCCCGAGGACAGCAAUUGAUACUAUCUAGUAAGAUCCUCUAAAACUAUGUUAGCGUAAUCAAUAUAAUAAAUGGGUUCAGCUUUCAACUAAGACACUCCUCGUCAUGAUACAGCAGGAAAAAGCUAAUACACUCUGUCACAAAUAAAUAAAUUAUUGAUUGUGUUCAGUAACAAACAGGAAAAAGCUAACACACUCUGUCACAAAUAAAUAAAUGAUUGAUUGUGUUCAGUAACAAACCUGUAUCCUGUUUAUUAAUUCUUGAGGAUGCUCAACCCGCAGGCCAACCUACAAUUAAUACGUGUUAUCAGGAGAUUGAUUGUAUCUACGCGUGUGAAGGAAUAGCAAUGAGAUUAUAGUAAAAAUUGAUACCAAAAGAGUCAAUACGAACGAACCAAAGACAUCAAGGACAAAACAAAGGGAAAGCUCACACACAACACAUGCAAAGGCAGGGCUGCAACCCCAGCAUGCGCUACCAAGCAGUCCACGGAAUUUUGAUUUCUUAGUUGACUUCUCAAAAUAAAGGAAAAAGGAAACAAAUUGUUGACAGAAAUGGGGUUUAGAUAACAAUAUAAAGAUGAAUACAUUUCAGACGUCUCCUUACUUCCGCUAACCCCAUUGUAGAUUAAACUCCACCAGUGAAGUUAAUCCAACUGGACUGACGAAUUAAUGUAGACACCUAAAAUCUUACUUCUCAUAUGGGGUCGCGUUGAGCACAUCCAAAUUUUUUUGUAAAAUCUUUACUUCCCAUAUGGGAGGCCAAUUGCGCACAUCCAAGUUUUUGUAUGAGGUCCUAUUAUGAUCAAAUAUUUGUUUAAAACACUACCUAUUUAUUCAUUCUCGAAGGACUAAAGUUAUAUAAUCAUAUCGACCUUAGAUGUUGACGCUUUUCAAUAUAAUUUACAAUACCAACUUCUGGAUAAUACUGCUAAUUCUCGCCACAAAUGUAAUAAAUUAACUUUCCUGCUGUGGUAAGAUCAUCAGCAUACCAGUUAGUAAACCCUCCCCAAUAAGCCUCCCUAUUGUUGUCUUUGCCUGGAAAGACAUCUAAUGCCUUGUUAGGAGGAGCUGCACAGACGCCCCAAAGGAGGUGUCAGGGGUUUACAAUGGAGGGCCUGAGGAGAGGUAGAGGUACGCCAAAGAAGUAUUGGGGAGAAUUGAUUGGGCAAAGACAUGGCAAGCCUUCAGCUUACCGAGGACAAGACCCUUGAUAGGAGGAUACAAAGAUCAAGGAUUCAGGUAGAAGGCUGGUAGUAGAUAGCUUCACGUCUUGUUUUUCCUACUAGAGUAUUAGUAUUAUUUUCGGCAUUUUUAUUAUUUCCCUAUUUUUCAUGUUUAGUUUUCUAUUACUACUUGAUGCUCUUUUUGAAAUUGUACUACUUGAUGUCUCUUAUACCUGGGUUUUCUUACUAUCCUGUUGUUGUUACUGUUACUGCUUAUGUUUCCAUAAAUGUUGUGUUGUUGCUUUCCUUGAGCCAAGGGUCUACCGAAAACCGCCUCUCUACCGGCACCAAGGUAGGGGUAAGGUCUAUGUAAACUCUAUCCUCCCCAAACCCCACUUGUGAGAUUUCACUGGGUAUGUUGUUAUUGUUGGCAUAGGAAAAUAUAAACCAGCAAUCCAGCCAUAAAGCUAUAAACAAAUGUACACUUUACAUAAGAUAUAAAAAUUAUAAAUGGAAAGAAAAAGAUAUAAACUAACAUAAAUAUUUAAUAUGGACAGGAGCGCACAGAAAAAUCCUUUUCAACCAGGCUGACCCCAUGAGGACGAAGCAGCUGACAUGUAUCACCUGCAGAAUGCCCUACUGCAAGAACCAUUGCAUCAUACCCCAACUGCUGGCUGGUGGAGGGUGAGCGGUUCUCUCUUGAAUCAGAAACUUUGACUCCCACCACAUGUUUAUCCUUGACAAGUAAAUCGUCUACUCUUGUUCCAAACCUGAUGGCGACCUGACCAUAUCAGCAACAAAACAGAAGUUCUUGAUAACUCGAAAACUUUCACAUUUCUUUCCUAAGAGGCAUAAGUUAUAAAUUACUUACACCCAACUCUUCAAGGUAACGCCGAAAUCUUGAAGAAGUGGAAUCAAUUUAUCAGUUCCCAGAUGAGUUUUUCCAUCAACCAAAAUUUUUGGUGGAGCUCCAAAUCGGACCAAUGUUUCCAAAACCUGGAAACCAAGAUCAAAGGUGAAGACAAGGAUAACUGACAAAAUCAACACGUGUUUAGAGAAAUAAAUUCUUAGGUAAGAAAUCAAAAGUACAAUUUUCCAGGAUUAAGUAACUCACUGCCAAAACUCUACCGCUGUUUCUGCCAAUUCAAGUAACUAGCUUCCCGUAGCUCCAAGUACCUGCACCACCCUGUCCCACAUAAGUCCUACGUAAAUAAGUAGCUAACGAGAGCCAAUGGUUGUAACAUCGUACAAUCUAUUUGACCUUAUAAACCAGUAGGAUGAUGAAACUGUAUACAUAUCUAAAUCACUGAAAUCAUAAGCUCAAAUCAAGCACUAAAACAUCUCUUUUUCAAAUCUUACAGUGCAAGUACAGAACUACAGAUUUGAUCAGAAUCCCAUUUACGAUCUGACAUCCAUCAAGGUAAAAAGUAAAUGUUGAGAAUUUUAAUAUAUGGCCUGCACAACAUCAUUUCCAUCAUAAGAGUAAGGAGAAGAUGAAAUAUGGAAGAAAUACAGAGCCGGAAAUAUUGUCUAUUUAAAGGCAGCCAAGUGCACUAAGCCCCCGCUAUUGUGCAGGGUCCGAGGAAGGGCAGGACCACAAGGGUCUUGAUGCAGCCUUACCUCUGCAGAGGCUGUUGGAACAGCUCGAACCCGUGAAGUCCUAGUCACAUGGCAUCAACUUUACCAGUUACGCCAAGACUCCCCUUCAAAUAUCAUCAACUUUAACAAUCAAUCUCCUCCAUUUUUUACUCCAAUUGGUUGAAAUAGAUGAAAAUCUACGUGCAGCGGAAGACAUAUUAGUCCUGUUACAAUCAAAGGAGAUCCUAUAGCAUCUUAAUCAGGUCUAACAGGAAGCACUACGGCAGUUAACACCCAGUAAUAUUCAGAAUGCAAUGAAACCCCAAAAAAAAUUCUAGCUUGGCCAAAAAUUGUCACGUCCAGAUCUAGCGAGAGUCAGCUUUCGCCUCGUGUACAUGUUCUGCCAUUCCACUAACGAAAUUAGUUCUUGACAGUAUUUUGAAAUCAUUAAGAUCAAAAUCAGUCAUGAGUACUCUUGCCUAAAAAUAUUUUCCCAUUAUACAUUUCUAAUUUCACAGAUACUGCCAUGUGCUUCAAUAAUAGUUCAAAACAGAGGCAAAUUGUAGAAAUUAAUCUCAUGAAGCUGGAAAAACCUUUGAAGGAAAUAAGUGAAUCGGGAUAUAACCUCCCCAAAGAAAAAGUUGCUCUCCUCUUGCAAUAUCCGUCGAACAACCAAAGCACCAAUGUCACGGCCCAUUUUAUCAACUGCUUCUCCCCUUUCCAUCAGUGUAACAUCUACUCCAAAUUCAGCAAGCACAAGAGAAGCAAACAACCCUGCAGGCCCACUACCAACAACUGCAACUUUUGAUUUUCUGUAACUUGCAUUCGUAUGUGAUCCAUUGUAGAGAUUUCUAUCUCCAAAAUCUGAAGUAGUUGCAUCCUGACCUGACUUUCUGCAAGCAUGUACAGUGCUCAUUAUGUCACCAAAAGUUCGAUCAUGAGACAAAUGCUCAAUUAAGCCAACCUUGGGUUUCAAUUCAGAGAUGAAUUCCCAAGUAUGAGGCUCUAAAUUUAGCAGUUUAUGGGCAUUCACAUCAACUGCAUAUACAAACCUCUGUUCCUUUUGCAACUGCAAUCAGGUCAAUGUAGAAGUUAAGUACAAAUCGAGAAUGUUCAACUGCACCUAUUACAUGCUUUGUCUCAAGCAAUUGAAUGUCGAUGCUACAAAAUCACCAACAUCAUCGUCCCAACACUAUAACCAAGGAUACAUCCAUAAUAAGCUCAAAUGCAUGAGCAUACUAAACUUGCAGAAAUAAGUAUUCAGAAAUCAUUGAUGGUUUAUGCUCUAGGUUUAGAUAUGGUCUCUUUUUUCUACCGUUUUUUCUUCAAUUCAAUACAUUAUAGCUGAAUUAACUUAGGACGGUCAAUGUUCAUCGACGCCUGAAAGGAAAUGUGGCAAAGAGCUAAUAAUGGAGAAAGGAAAGCCUGGCAAACAUAUAUUGAGGUGCUACCUCAUCCUCAUGCAUAGACUUAAAUAUCCCAACCCUUUUUUUAUAAGGGCAAUUCAUUGAAACAUUUGAAUCUAUUCCACCCCUUUAGUGCUUGGCCCCAGAACAUUGACUGUCCAAAUAUUAUAUCAUAUUCAUCAAUACAAUACAACCCAACACCCGGUACUUUACAGGUUGGUUAUACAAAAAUGGCAGCUCGGUGCACUAAAUCUCCUGCUAAGCGCAGGAUACAGGGAAGGGUCUAUUGUACUCAGCCUCAGUGUACAUUUCUACAAGGGCUCGUGACCUCCGAUACCUUACCAAUUACUCAGAGAUUCCCCUUCUCAUGUGAUAUUAUGUAACGAUGAAAAAUGAUACAAUCUAAUCCAAACAUUAUAUAAUACAGUACAGUACAAUAUGUAACAAUCAUUGAAACAAAGGGAAGAAUGUUACCUUUUCUCAACAGUGAGGAAACUGGAGCCGGUUAAUCAAUAUGAGAAAAAUGGACGAGACGGGAGAGUUUACUUGGGCCGGGUCGGAGUGUUUUUAGUAUCGGGACGGGUAUUUUGGGAGAAUUGGGCAGGGAUAUUAUUAAGCUGAGAUAGCCCAAUAGAGGGGGAGAUUUUGUGGGGUUAAAAUUGGCUAGAAUUGAGAUUUAUUAUAUUAUAGCCCAAACAUUUCAAUUGAAGUAAUAUUCUAUUAAAAUAUAGCCAAAACAUUUCAAUUGAGGUAAAAUUGCUAACCAUUUCAAUUGAGAUAUGAGACAAAUUUAUUAUUUUAUUUAAUCAACUAAACUUCUUGUUGACAAACUGAAUUAGUUAUAAUAAUUAAGUGGUAAAUGACUUCAUUUGAUUUUAUUAACUAAACCCUAUUUUCAUUUUGUUUGGCUUAUGUCGACUUGGAACACUAUUUUAGUAGAUCCUAUAUUUAAUUGAUUAGAGACAAAUUGUUAAAAGAUGAUUUGCGGUUGGAAGAUAAGCAAUUGCAUUAGAAUUAGACCCUCACAUCCUCGCUCAAUGAUGUAGUUGUGAGACUAAUUGGGUAGACGACUUAAAGGAUGAUCAUUAUCAAAUGUACUAUCAAAUCUUUUAGAGAUUUUUUUUUUUUUAUCACUUUAUGUAUCAUUUCCUUAUCAUUGGACGCAAGUAAGAUCAUCCAUGUAUAAAUCUAAGAAACAAAAUUUUACUCCCACUUACCUUCGUUCUAAUAUAUGUGUUGAUCCAUAACGAUCUUGAUAAAGUCGAUUACAAAGAUAACAUUAUGAAAUUUUAAGUAACAUUGACAUGAGGCUUGUUUUAGAAAGCCAAUGAUUUUCAAUCAUCACAUAAUCAUGAUUCAUUAACUCUUGACUGCAUUCCUCUUCCCAAUUUUAUUUAAUUUUGCUCUAAAUCUCUUCGUCUUCACAUCAAUUCGAUCUUUAUAUAUAUAUAUAUAUAGUUGUUACCAUUUAAUUCACAAUUUAAGGUAAACAAUGUGUAGAAUUGAAUCUACCAACAAACUACUAUGCG